RNAcentral lists this transfer RNA (133 nucleotides) under Faecalibacterium prausnitzii. RNAcentral describes it as "tRNA-Lys". It matches the Rfam family "tRNA". Rfam says of the family: Transfer RNA (tRNA) molecules are approximately 80 nucleotides in length. Their secondary structure includes four short double-helical elements and three loops (D, anti-codon, and T loops). The record is from RNAcentral. Lineage: Bacteria; Bacillati; Bacillota; Clostridia; Eubacteriales; Oscillospiraceae.
GCCGUUGUAGCUCAAGUAGAGCGCCGCCCAUUUAAGGCGGGUCAACACUGAUGAUACACGAGAAAAGUUCCCCUCGCCUAUCAAGCGGGAGAAGAACGCUUUCGUGGUGCUGGUUCAAACCCGGCCAACGGCU